Molecule: transfer RNA, 73 nt
Filed under: Camelus bactrianus (Bactrian camel)
Lineage: Eukaryota; Metazoa; Chordata; Mammalia; Artiodactyla; Camelidae
Also listed under: 2 other names
Rfam family: tRNA
About the family: Transfer RNA (tRNA) molecules are approximately 80 nucleotides in length. Their secondary structure includes four short double-helical elements and three loops (D, anti-codon, and T loops).
Source: Rfam by way of RNAcentral
GAGGACAUAGCUCAAGUGGUAGAGCGCAUGCUUCACAUGCAGGAGGUCCUGGGUUCAAGCCCCAGAAUCCCCA